GACGAACGCUGGCGGCGUGCUUAACACAUGCAAGUCGAACGGUGAAGCGCCUUCCUUUUUGGUGGGUGUGGAUGAGUGGCGAACGGGUGAGUAACACGUGAGUAACCUGCCCCCUUCUUCUGGAUAACCGCAUGAAAGUGUGGCUAAUACGGGAUAUUCUGGGUCUGUCGCAUGAUGGGUCUGGGAAAGAUAUUGUUUCGGUGGGGGAUGGGCUCGCGGCCUAUCAGCUUGUUGGUGGGGUGAUGGCCUACCAAGGCGGUGACGGGUAGCCGGCCUGAGAGGGUGGACGGUCACACUGGGGCUGAGACACGGCCAAGACUCCGACGGGAGGCAGCAGGGGGGAAUAUUGCACAAUGGGCGCAAGCCUGAUGCAGCGACGCCGCGUGAGGGAUGGAGGCCUUCGGGUUGUGAACCUCUUUCGCCAGUGAAGCAGGCCUGCCUCGUUUGUGGGUGGGUUGACGGUAGCUGGAUAAGAAGCGCCGGCUAACUACGUG
This 494-nucleotide ribosomal RNA is filed under the name uncultured bacterium. Its description in RNAcentral is "partial 16S ribosomal RNA". It matches the Rfam family "Bacterial small subunit ribosomal RNA", at positions 28 to 507 of the family's 1533-position model. The record is from RNAcentral.